RNAcentral lists this ribosomal RNA (437 nucleotides) under uncultured bacterium. RNAcentral's name for it is "bacterial SSU rRNA". It matches the Rfam family "Bacterial small subunit ribosomal RNA", at positions 43 to 524 of the family's 1533-position model. The record is from RNAcentral.
CAGGCCUAACACAUGCAAGUCGAACGGGUGCUUUCGGGCACUAGUGGCGCACGGGUGCGUAACGCGUGGGAACCUGCCCUUUGGUUCGGAAUAACUCAGGGAAACUUGAGCUAAUACCGGAUGAUGACUUCGGUCCAAAGAUUUAUCGCCAAGGGAUGGGCCCGCGUAGGAUUAGCUAGUUGGUGGGGUAAUGGCCUACCAAGGCGACGAUCCUUAGCUGGUCUGAGAGGAUGAUCAGCCACACUGGGACUGAGACACGGCCCAGACUCCUACGGGAGGCAGCAGUGGGGAAUAUUGGACAAUGGGCGAAAGCCUGAUCCAGCAAUGCCGCGUGAGUGAUGAAGGCCUUCGGGUUGUAAAGCUCUUUUACCCGGGAUGAUAAAGACAGUACCGGGAGAAUAAGCUCCGGCUAACUCCGUGCCAGCAGCCGCGGUAAU